Paramacrobiotus metropolitanus is the source of this 1324-nucleotide long non-coding RNA. RefSeq lists it as uncharacterized. Lineage: Eukaryota; Metazoa; Tardigrada; Eutardigrada; Parachela; Macrobiotidae. The record is from RefSeq and is a predicted model, not a curated record. The transcript has 4 exons.
CCCUUGCUUGCUUUUAUAUGCAGAUGGGUGCAAUGCGGAUAAUUGGUUUUGAUUACAAUUCAACAAGGAUAAUUGAUGUCGGUGAUCCACGAUAACUGUUGCCAAGCGUAGUAUGAUUAGGUAGGAUUAUCCCUGAUCGGAAGUCCCGUCUCCCGGAUAAUAUAAAAGUUAGAUGCAGCGAUAGGUGACUCGCAACCUAACAAUGCUGCUAGCCAACAUGUUGAAAGGGAGAAUGAAGAGAGCAGCUGGUUGGAUGAGCGUGCAGCUGAGGUGGACUGGCCGCAAAUCGCUGGAACCUCGGACCUCAAUGAAUUAAACCGUGUGCUUACACAACUUUCGAAAGGGUCCUCAGAAGAAGGUUUACGAAACCAGAACAUUUCUGCAGAAGAUCAAGUUAUCGAAGAUGUCUGUAUGCAAAGCCUUCAUAAUGGACACCCUGGCGAGAGUGCGGCUGCUAUAGCACAAAACGGUGAAGUAGAACAAUAAACCCAUAAAAAUAUUUCUAAUUGUUGCGAUCUUGGGCCAGUGAUAAAUCCUAAAUUAUUACUGAAUAAAUAAUUAAAAAUAAUCAAUUUUAUGUAAAUAAUUAAUUGUAUCGUUGUUUCACGUCUGAACACAGCAUUGGUGCAGCAGUUCGUUGAAAAUUACAUGCCUGAAAAUUAUGCUACUAGUAAGUUCUUGGACCUUUGUUUAAUGUGAACAAUUUUUCUGCUUCUCAUUAUCAGGCGCUGUUUUUUGUUAGGUGGCAACGCGGUUUCUUAUGAUCUUGGUGCUUUGUCGACUGUUACGGUUCUUGGACAAGGACGUGCUCAAAACAACUGGGUCGAUGAAGCGAUUGCUGUGUCGCUGCUGCAACCCGCAUCGCUGGCAUGGGUUCGUACGAACCAGACCCUGAUCGUGCAUGACAUGAUACCUGAGGUUUUGCGAGGCGUACCGUGGGAUGUAAAGGCCAAGAAACUGCUCAUGUAUUUCGGCGGUAAUACAAACUGGGACGGAUGGUUUAGCCACGCCAUGUUAAUUUUCUUCACGAAACCUAGUGUCUUGGAAAUCAGCCGAGAAGAACUCCAAGUGUUGCUGAAGUAUUUGUUUGCUGGUGGAUGGUACACGGAUGUUGCGACCGCAGUGAAUGCAACAAAAGGAAAAGAUGUACCAACAGCGCCGUACCGACGUUUCAGUGGAACGCUCUUUGCUUGGUACCGCAAAUUUGCUACGAAAACCAAAUUGCGAAAGAAACCGCCGACCUCUUACCUUACGCUGACGCGAAUUUCUCAUUUUGGUUGUUAUGAAGGUUGUGUCAAUAUUAACCUUGCUGCAGUAGAGUCUA